UCUCCGUUGGUGAACCAGCGGAGGGAUCAUUACCGAGUGCAAACUCAUAACCCUUUGUGAACCUAUAUCUGUUGCUUCGGCGGCUCGCUCUCGGGCGAGCCCGCCGGGAAUAUCAGUAUCUCUGUUUGAACCCGACGAUACUUCGGAGUGUUCUUAGCGAACAGUUAAAACUUUUAACAACGGAUCUCUUGGCUCUA
This 197-nucleotide unclassified non-coding RNA is filed under the name plant metagenome. Its description in RNAcentral is "partial contains small subunit ribosomal RNA, internal transcribed spacer 1, and 5.8S ribosomal RNA". The record is from RNAcentral.